RNAcentral lists this ribosomal RNA (404 nucleotides) under Acanthamoeba genotype T4. Its description in RNAcentral is "SSU rRNA". The stretch from base 1 to 344 matches the Rfam family "Eukaryotic small subunit ribosomal RNA", at positions 784 to 1115 of the family's 1831-position model. Lineage: Eukaryota; Discosea; Longamoebia; Acanthamoebidae. The record is from RNAcentral.
AUUUUCUGCCACCGAAUACAUUAGCAUGGGAUAAUGGAAUAGGACCCUGUCCUCCUAUUUUCAGUUGGUUUUGGCAGCGCGAGGACUAGGGUAAUGAUUAAUAGGGAUAGUUGGGGGCAUUAAUAUUUAAUUGUCAGAGGUGAAAUUCUUGGAUUUAUGAAAGAUUAACUUCUGCGAAAGCAUCUGCCAAGGAUGUUUUCAUUAAUCAAGAACGAAAGUUAGGGGAUCGAAGACGAUCAGAUACCGUCGUAGUCUUAACCAUAAACGAUGCCGACCAGCGAUUAGGAGACGUUGAAUACAAAACACCACCAUCGGCGCGGUCGUCCUUGGCGUGUCUCGGCUUCACGGCCGGGGCGCGCGAGGGCGGUUUAGCCCGGUGGCACCGGUGAAUGACUCCCCUAGCA